Molecule: ribosomal RNA, 879 nt
Filed under: uncultured euryarchaeote
Lineage: Archaea; Methanobacteriati; Methanobacteriota
Description: bacterial SSU rRNA
Rfam family: Archaeal small subunit ribosomal RNA
Source: RNAcentral
AGGCUACUGCUAUUGGAGUUCGAUUAAGCCAUGCGAGUCUAAGGGAUCUUCGGAUCCCUGGCAUAAUGCUCAGUAACACGUGGAUAAUCUACCCUCAGGUGGGGCAUAAACCCGGGAAACUGGGGCCAAUUCCCCAUAGAUACAGAUGGCUGGAAUGCUUCUGUAUUCAAAGCUCCGGCGCCUGAGGAUGGGUCUGCGGCCUAUCAGGUUGUAGUCAGGGUCAAGACCUGACUAGCCAGCGACGGGUAUGGGGUGUGAGAGCACUUGCCCAGAGAUGGUUUCUGAGACACGAAACCAGGCCCUACGGGGCGCAGCAGGCGCGAAAACUUCGCAAUGCGGGAAACCGUGACGAGGGAACUCCAAGUGUCUAUGCAUUGCAUAGACUGUUUUUUAGCCUAAAUAGCUAUUAGAGUAAGGGGUGGGCAAGACCGGUGCCAGCCGCCGCGGUAACACCGGCACCUCGAGUGGUAGCCACUAUUAUUGGGCCUAAAGCGUUCGUAGCCGGUUUGGUAAAUUCUUGGGUAAAUCGUACCGCUUAACGGUGCGAAUUCCGGGGACACUACCAGACUUGAGACCGGGGGAGAUCAGAGGUACUUGUGGGGGAGCGGUGAAAUGUUGUAAUCCCACAGGGACCACCAGUGGCGAAGGCGUCUGAUCAGAACGGCUCUGACGGUGAGGAACGAAACCCUGGGGCGCAAACGGGAUUAGAUACCCCGGUAGUCCAGGGCGUAAACGCUGCUGACUUGGUGUUGGGGAUCCUACGAGGAUGUCCAGUGCUGGCGCGAAGGUAUUAAGUCAGCCGCCUGGGGAGUACGGUCGCAAGACUGAAACUUAAAGGAAUUGGCGGGGGAGCACUGCAACGUGUGGAGCGUGCGGUUU